GGCCUGAGAGGGCGACCGGCCACACUGGGACUGAGACACGGCCCAGACUCCUACGGGAGGCAGCAGUGGGGAAUAUUGCGCAAUGGGCGAAAGCCUGACGCAGCAACGCCGCGUGCGGGAUGAAGGCCUUCGGGUUGUAAACCGCUUUCAGCAGGGAAGAAGCCGCAAGGUGACGGUACCUGCAGAAGAAGCACCGGCUAACUACGUGCCAGCAGCCGCGGUAAUACGUAGGGUGCAAGCGUUGUCCGGAUUUAUUGGGCGUAAAGAGCUCGUAGGCGGUCUGUUACGUCGGUUGUGAAAACUCGGGGCUUAACCCCGAGCCUGCAUCCGAUACGGGCAGACUUGAGUGUGGUAGGGGAGAC
This 362-nucleotide ribosomal RNA is filed under the name uncultured bacterium. RNAcentral's name for it is "bacterial SSU rRNA". It matches the Rfam family "Bacterial small subunit ribosomal RNA", at positions 289 to 661 of the family's 1533-position model. The record is from RNAcentral.